AAAAGUCCUACGCCACGUGAGACCUCAAAAUCAUAGGAUGGUACUUACAGUGUAAUCAAAAUCCGGGGAGGUACAUAGGGUAGUGCGUAUAGCACUUCAAACUGACAUUCUAAACUCUUUUUAUAAAAAUAUAUAUUAAGUUCUAAAGUUGUAUAAGCCUCAACCACAAUCUAGCAUCCGAUAAUCCCCGAAUUCAAAACAAGAAAUUAAUUUCCUAAUCCUACAUAAUCAACAAAACUCAACAACGC
RNAcentral lists this long non-coding RNA (248 nucleotides) under Prunus persica (peach). RNAcentral's name for it is "long non-coding RNA (PPER_LNC002976)". The record is from RNAcentral. Lineage: Eukaryota; Viridiplantae; Streptophyta; Magnoliopsida; Rosales; Rosaceae.